Marmota monax (woodchuck) is the source of this 648-nucleotide long non-coding RNA. RefSeq lists it as uncharacterized. NCBI's taxonomy places the organism in Eukaryota, Metazoa, Chordata, Mammalia, Rodentia, Sciuridae. The transcript has 2 exons. The record is from RefSeq and is a predicted model, not a curated record.
GCGCUUGACAGUGGCGUCCUUUCCCAGGCGACCUGGAGCCCGGAAGCGCGCUGCCGUGAGUGUGGGCUUGCAGACUUUGGUGCCGCUGGGAACCUAGACUUACUGAAGUUUGUCCGCUCUGUUUUUGUGUGACUUAAGAAUAAGUCGCUCUUCGUUUACCCGCUCUCAGACCAUUUCCUUUUGCAAGGGGGAAAAAAUAUCCACCGUUUGACUCAGUUUUCAGCUGAGCAGCCUCCUUUCCCAGGCUCUGGCAGUGGUCUCUAAGACUAGGAAAAACUGGUUAGAAGUUUUAACAUACACCUCUGGCAGCUAAGAAGUUCCAUGUAUUGAAACUUCAAGCAAAAAACAGUUCCUUGGUUUUUGCUUGGUCUUGGUUUUGCUUAAGCUGCCUUCCCUUCCACCGCCUUAACUAGAUGGAUCAGUGUUUGACCAAUGGUAUAUGAAGAUAAGUAAGAAGCCAAAAUGAUAUACAAUUUAAUGUUCAAAAUUAUGAUACCCACGUAUGAGAUAAUGUGAAAAGAUAAACUCUUGCAAGUUUUCUGCCAGUCCAGCAAUUUGUAUCAAGACUACUACAAAUUUUCACAUCCUUUAGCCCAGCAAUUACUCUUCUUGGAAUUUAUCCUAAAUCUAAUGAAAACCCUGAAAAGG